CAACUGGUUGCGGGAGAGAGCAGCGCACGGCUGCCGCCGAAGGGGAAUACGCCUAAAAUCUCUCAGGCAAAAGAACCGUAAGCAGGGC
Molecule: non-coding RNA, 88 nt
Filed under: Chelativorans sp.
Lineage: Bacteria; Pseudomonadati; Pseudomonadota; Alphaproteobacteria; Hyphomicrobiales; Phyllobacteriaceae
Description: Glycine sequence
Rfam family: Glycine riboswitch aptamer
About the family: This family represents the bacterial glycine riboswitch. Glycine riboswitches usually consist of two metabolite-binding aptamers domains with similar structures in tandem.
Source: RNAcentral